This 454-nucleotide ribosomal RNA is filed under the name uncultured bacterium. RNAcentral's name for it is "partial 16S ribosomal RNA". It matches the Rfam family "Bacterial small subunit ribosomal RNA", at positions 28 to 507 of the family's 1533-position model. The record is from RNAcentral.
GAUGAACGCUGACAGAAUGCUUAACACAUGCAAGUCUACUUGAACUUCGGUUUGGGUGGCGGACGGGUGAGUCACGCGUAAAGAACUUGCCUCACAGUUAGGGACAACAUUUGGAAACGAAUGCUAAUACCUGAUAUUAUGAUUUUAGGGCAUCCUAGGAUUAUGAAAGCUAUAUGUGCUGUGAGAGAGCUUUGCGUCCCAUUAGCUAGUUGGAGAGGUAACGGCUCACCAAGGCGAUGAUGGGUAGCCGGCCUGAGAGGGUGAACGGCCACAAGGGGACUGAGACACGGCCCUUACUCCUACGGGAGGCAGCAGUGGGGAAUAUUGGACAAUGGACCAAAAGUCUGAUCCAGCAAUUCUGUGUGCACGAUGACGUUUUUCGGAAUGUAAGGUGCUUUCAGUUGGGAAGAAAAAAAUGACGGUACCAACAGAAGAAGUGACGGCUAAAUACGUG